AUGUUUCGGUAAGAGCAGCACAUACACUAAAAACGGAAGGAUAGACUGUUAGCACGGCCCCUGCUCAAGAAUGACAUGCAGAUUCGUGAGCUGUUCCAUAUUUUU
Pteropus alecto (black flying fox) is the source of this 105-nucleotide non-coding RNA. The record is from Rfam. Lineage: Eukaryota; Metazoa; Chordata; Mammalia; Chiroptera; Pteropodidae.